AACGAACGCUGGCGGCAUGCCUAACACAUGCAAGUCGAACGAGACCUCCGGGUCUUGGGGCGCUCGGGGGCGUAAGGCGUGGGAACUUGCCCUUAGGUUCGGUGUCACUGCCCGUGAGGUGUGUUCAGACAGGUGAAUGUCUUCGGACCAAAGAUUUAUCGCCUUUGGAUGGGCCCGGGUUGGAUUCGCCGGUUGGUAGGGUAAAAGCCUAUCAUGGCGACGAUGCAUAGCUGGUGUGAGAGGAUGCUCUGCCACACUGGGACUGAGACACGGCCCAGACUGCUACGGGGGGCAGGAGUGGGGAAUAUUGGACGAUGGGCGAAAGCCUGAUACAGCAGCGUCGGGUGAGUGAUGAAGGCCUUUGGGUUGUAAAGCUCUUUUAGCCGGGAUGAUAAUGACAGUACCGGGAGAAUAAGCUCCGGCUAACUCCGUG
RNAcentral lists this ribosomal RNA (433 nucleotides) under uncultured bacterium. RNAcentral's name for it is "partial 16S ribosomal RNA". It matches the Rfam family "Bacterial small subunit ribosomal RNA", at positions 28 to 507 of the family's 1533-position model. The record is from RNAcentral.